ACCAACGGGGGGACGAGGGCCGUACCUAAACGGUAGUCGGUUCGUAUGAUUGGGGUG
Molecule: ribosomal RNA, 57 nt
Filed under: uncultured bacterium
Lineage: Bacteria
Description: partial 16S ribosomal RNA
Source: RNAcentral